Molecule: ribosomal RNA, 470 nt
Filed under: uncultured Methanolinea sp.
Lineage: Archaea; Methanobacteriati; Methanobacteriota; Methanomicrobia; Methanomicrobiales; Methanoregulaceae
Description: bacterial SSU rRNA
Rfam family: Archaeal small subunit ribosomal RNA
Source: RNAcentral
GACGGGGAGCACCACAACGGGUGGAGCUUGCGGUUAAUUGGAUUCAACGCCGGAAAUCUUACCGGGACCGACAGCAAUAUGAAGGCCAGGCUGAAGACUUUGCCGGAUUAGCUGAGAGGUGGUGCAUGGCCGUCGUCAGUUCGUACUGUGAAGCAUCCUGUUAAGUCAGGCAACGAGCGAGACCCACGCCCACAGUUGCCAGCGUACUCUCCGGAGUGACGGGUACACUGUGGGGACCGCCGCUGCUAAAGCGGAGGAAGGAAUGGGCAACGGUAGGUCAGUAUGCCCCGAAUAUCCCGGGCUACACGCGAGCUACAAUGGGUGGGACAAUGGGUAUCGACACCGAAAGGUGAAGGCAAUCUCCUAAACCCAUCCGUAGUUCGGAUUGUGGGCUGCAACUCGCCCACAUGAAGCUGGAAUCUGUAGUAAUCGUGUCUCAAAAUGGCACGGUGAAUAUGUCCCUGCUCCUU